GACAGAGGGUGCAAACGUUGUUCGGAUUCACUGGGCGUAAAGGGUGCGUAGGUGGCGAGGUAAGUCGGAUGUGAAAUCUCGGAGCUCAACUCCGAAACUGCAUUGGAAACUACCUUGCUCGAGGGUUGGAGGGGGGACUGGAAUACUUGGUGUAGCAGUGAAAUGCGUAGAUAUCAAGUGGAACACCAGUGGCGAAGGCGAGUCCCUGGACAACUCCUGACACUGAGGCACGAAAGCUAGGGGAGCAAACAGG
This 253-nucleotide ribosomal RNA is filed under the name uncultured prokaryote. Its description in RNAcentral is "partial 16S ribosomal RNA". It matches the Rfam family "Bacterial small subunit ribosomal RNA", at positions 524 to 776 of the family's 1533-position model. The record is from RNAcentral.